Molecule: ribosomal RNA, 404 nt
Filed under: Actinomycetes bacterium
Lineage: Bacteria; Bacillati; Actinomycetota; Actinomycetes
Description: Actinobacteria bacterium partial 16S ribosomal RNA
Rfam family: Bacterial small subunit ribosomal RNA
Source: RNAcentral
UGGGGAAUAUUGGACAAUGGGCGCAAGCCUGAUCCAGCCAUGCCGCGUGAGUGAUGAAGGCCCUAGGGUUGUAAAGCUCUUUCACCGGUGAAGAUAAUGACGGUAACCGGAGAAGAAGCCCCGGCUAACUUCGUGCCAGCAGCCGCGGUAAUACGAAGGGGGCUAGCGUUGUUCGGAUUUACUGGGCGUAAAGCGCACGUAGGCGGACUAUUAAGUCAGGGGUGAAAUCCCGGGGCUAAACCCCGGAACUGCCUUUGAUACUGGUAGUGUUGAGUUCGAGAGAGGUGAGUGGAAUUCCGAGUGUAGAAGUGAAAUUCGUAGAUAUUCGGAGGAACACCAGUGGCGAAGGCGGCUCACUGGCUCGAUACUGACGCUGAGGUGCGAAAGCGGGGGGAGCAAACAGG